GUUCAAACGAGCAUUGAAUACAUUGACAAUAAAUAAUUAAUAAUAUUUAUAUUUUAACUGCUAACGGUCUUAAGUACGUAAAUUUAUCAAGUGCAUGUAACAUUAGGUAAUCAAAGCACAAGAUACUAAUUACAACUUACAAAUAAAAAGAUAAAAUAAAAUAAGAAUAAAUGAGAAGUGUUAACUUUCCUAGUAUAUUUAUGCAUCACUGCAAAGAUAAAUCGCGUGCGAUAAUUGCUAUUGGACUUGACAUAUGCAUAAUAAAAACUAAAGCGGGGUCAUUGGUCACUCAACGAUUAAACUGAUUACUUAAUCGAUCAAUCGAUCGGGUAUUCCAGUGAUAAACAGUCAGCAGCAAGUGAAGCUUGAGUGGGAAUUCAAUUGAUAAGGAAAUUAACACGCAAUGGCAACUCACAAUAUUUAUAUUUAUGUAAUAUCGACAAUUUAAUUCAGAGAUGGAUGGAAUCUCAGAAUCUUCUGGCGGCUGCUCUGACUUAGAAAUAACGGCGUAGUUUUUUAGGUACUCGACGACCUGGGUGUGACCGAAGGUCUCAGCUUCAUCUACUGGCCGGUUGCCCCAUCUUUAACAAUACGUUUUUUUUUUUAAAUCAGUACCAAUGCUGGUAGAAAUGAAAAUAAAUAAAGAUGAUUUAUUGGUACCUGUCCUUGGGAUCGUGAGGAACUCCGCACUGCUCGAUGAGAAACUCAACGCAGUCGAGAUGGCCUUCGCUCGCCGCCAAAUGUAAAGCUGUGCGUCCAUCAUAAUCUGAUAGUGUCAUAUCCAUUCCGCUUAGACGGUGCCUAAGAUAAUUUUUUUAGUUUAAUUAUUUAUUCAAAACAUUCUAGCAACAAAUAAAUAUCUAAUAAAAAAAGUAAUGCCCUAAUAGUGGAGGGAGGGGCAAAAGGGGGUACUAGAAAUAGAAGAAAUUUUCAGUUACCGUUGAAAAAAAAAAUUUUUCAUUUCUGUGGGCAAAGUGGGGUAUACCCUCUAAAAAAGGAAAAAAAAAAAAUUUCUGGAUUUUAAACGAAUUUGAUUAAGUUUAAUUUUUUUAAAAAUAAUUUACAUGAAGAAAAAUUAUAUUUUACAUGUUUAUUGGAUACAAAAGAAGAAAAUAAUUUUAAUAGUUUUUAUCAUAAAACAAACGUCAUUAAUAUUUUCCAACUGACAAUUGAUUUUUGAAAAAGUUUACCAAAAAAAAAUUCAAAGUAACGCUUAAUUAUAUUUACAGAAGUGAUUUUGGAAUGUUUAAAAACCAUUUAAAAUAUUAAAUUUUUUUUUAUCAAAUUUUAGAGGUACCCCGUUUUGCCGCCCCCCCCCCCCCUCCUUCCUCUAUAUAUUUAUUUUCAAAUAAAUAACUAAUAAAAAAAUAUCUAAUAGUUGGUACACUGAAAAAAAAAACUAAUUUUUGGAAAAAUAAAAUUUUUUAGCCGAAAAAAAUUUCUGUAAUAAAUAAAAUUAAAAUUUAUAAUUUAAAUUAAAUAUUUUUUCUCAGUGUCAUUAAUAAUUAAUUAAUCUAAAAAAUAAAAACAGCUAGAGUCUUAAUGUUUUGUGUUCCGCGCAAACUUACCGCUUGAGGCAUUCUUGUAAGUCGAUGUCGUGUCUGUUUGCAUGCAUUGAGUACUGUAUUUAUUAACAAUUACAAUAUUUUAAGUGUAUCAUUGUGAUUUAUGAUUGUGCGGUGUUGAGUUUUAUUUAAAUCGAUGGCAGUGACUGAUAAUUAAUUAUUAAUUAUUAAACAUUAAUUACAAGAGUUACUCCGUCUUACCUCCGCAUGGCAGUGACGUCUCCAUUGGCUGCGCUGAACAGCAGAUUAACUAUCGACAGGCCUUUGGUCUCGUACUUGUGCCUCCUGGGGUCUUUUUUGUUGGUGGCGUGCUUGAGAUUGUCGUAUCUGUGGAAAUUAAAUUCGUUUACAAGUUCCUCGCAGAACUGGACUCCUCUGCAAGAGUUUCCCAGUGAGUCUAGAGGCGGCGACCAAGUGCAGAUCCCCAUUACGUUGGGAAUAACCACUAGCAGGCUUCCA
This is a long non-coding RNA of Microplitis mediator, 2024 nucleotides long. RefSeq lists it as uncharacterized. The transcript is spliced from 2 exons. Lineage: Eukaryota; Metazoa; Arthropoda; Insecta; Hymenoptera; Braconidae. The record is from RefSeq and is a predicted model, not a curated record.